RNAcentral lists this unclassified non-coding RNA (206 nucleotides) under Hevea brasiliensis (rubber tree). The record is from RNAcentral. Lineage: Eukaryota; Viridiplantae; Streptophyta; Magnoliopsida; Malpighiales; Euphorbiaceae.
GAAAGACAUUCUGAAUGCAGAGGGGGAUGAAAUAUACAUUAAGUAUUGGAGAAUAACAAAAUCAAGCAUAGAAACCAAAUUGAACAUAGAGUAUUCGGCUGUAACGAGGACCCUCCAAUGAGCGCUGGUAAUUUAUUAACCAACCCGUUUUACACUAAGUUACUUGUAUGUGUUUCUCUGGCAGGAUAUUAGCCUCUAUAUGAAGG